Molecule: ribosomal RNA, 1470 nt
Filed under: Pseudomonas lactis
Lineage: Bacteria; Pseudomonadati; Pseudomonadota; Gammaproteobacteria; Pseudomonadales; Pseudomonadaceae
Also listed under: 1 other name
Description: partial 23S ribosomal RNA
Rfam family: Bacterial large subunit ribosomal RNA
Source: RNAcentral
GGUCAAGUGAAGAAGCGCAUACGGUGGAUGCCUUGGCAGUCAGAGGCGAUGAAAGACGUGGUAGCCUGCGAAAAGCUUCGGGGAGUCGGCAAACAGACUUUGAUCCGGAGAUGUCUGAAUGGGGGAACCCAGCCAUCAUAAGAUGGUUAUCUUGUACUGAAUACAUAGGUGCAAGAAGCGAACCAGGGGAACUGAAACAUCUAAGUACCCUGAGGAAAAGAAAUCAACCGAGAUUCCCUUAGUAGUGGCGAGCGAACGGGGACUAGCCCUUAAGUGGCUUUGAGAUUAGCGGAACGCUCUGGAAAGUGCGGCCAUAGUGGGUGAUAGCCCUGUACGCGAAAAUCUCUUAGUCAUGAAAUCGAGUAGGACGGAGCACGAGAAACUUUGUCUGAAUAUGGGGGGACCAUCCUCCAAGGCUAAAUACUACUGACUGACCGAUAGUGAACUAGUACCGUGAGGGAAAGGCGAAAAGAACCCCGGAGAGGGGAGUGAAAUAGAUCCUGAAACCGUAUGCGUACAAGCAGUGGGAGCCCACUUUGUUGGGUGACUGCGUACCUUUUGUAUAAUGGGUCAGCGACUUAUUUUCAGUGGCGAGCUUAACCGAAUAGGGGAGGCGUAGCGAAAGCGAGUCUUAAUAGGGCGUCUAGUCGCUGGGAAUAGACCCGAAACCGGGCGAUCUAUCCAUGGGCAGGUUGAAGGUUGGGUAACACUAACUGGAGGACCGAACCGACUACCGUUGAAAAGUUAGCGGAUGACCUGUGGAUCGGAGUGAAAGGCUAAUCAAGCUCGGAGAUAGCUGGUUCUCCUCGAAAGCUAUUUAGGUAGCGCCUCAUGUAUCACUGUAGGGGGUAGAGCACUGUUUCGGCUAGGGGGUCAUCCCGACUUACCAAACCGAUGCAAACUCCGAAUACCUACAAGUGCCGAGCAUGGGAGACACACGGCGGGUGCUAACGUCCGUCGUGAAAAGGGAAACAACCCAGACCGUCAGCUAAGGUCCCAAAGUUAUGGUUAAGUGGGAAACGAUGUGGGAAGGCUUAGACAGCUAGGAGGUUGGCUUAGAAGCAGCCACCCUUUAAAGAAAGCGUAAUAGCUCACUAGUCGAGUCGGCCUGCGCGGAAGAUGUAACGGGGCUCAAACCAUACACCGAAGCUACGGGUAUCACGUAAGUGAUGCGGUAGAGGAGCGUUCUGUAAGCCUGUGAAGGUGAGUUGAGAAGCUUGCUGGAGGUAUCAGAAGUGCGAAUGCUGACAUGAGUAACGAUAAUGGGUGUGAAAAACACCCACGCCGAAAGACCAAGGUUUCCUGCGCAACGUUAAUCGACGCAGGGUUAGUCGGUCCCUAAGGCGAGGCUGAAAAGCGUAGUCGAUGGAAAACAGGUUAAUAUUCCUGUACUUCUGGUUAUUGCGAUGGAGGGACGGAGAAGGCUAGGCCAGCUUGGCGUUGGUUGUCCAAGUUUAAGGUGGUAGGCUG